GGAGAGUUGGCCGAGUGGUUUAUGACGCACCAUUGGAAAUGAUGUAAACGGGCAGUACCUGUUUCGGGGGUCCGAAUCCCCCACUCUCCA
This 90-nucleotide transfer RNA is filed under the name Klebsiella pneumoniae. Its description in RNAcentral is "tRNA-Ser". It matches the Rfam family "tRNA". From Rfam's summary of the family: Transfer RNA (tRNA) molecules are approximately 80 nucleotides in length. RNAcentral also lists the same sequence under 2 other names. Lineage: Bacteria; Pseudomonadati; Pseudomonadota; Gammaproteobacteria; Enterobacterales; Enterobacteriaceae. The record is from RNAcentral.